UACGUAGGGGGCAAGCGUUGUCCGGAUUUAUUGGGCGUAAAGCGCGCGCAGGCGGUCUACCAAGUUCGGAGUGACAGUUUCCGGCUUAACCGGAAAAGGUCUUCGAAAACUGGUGGACUUGAGGACUUGAGGGGGAGACGGAAUUCCGGGUGGAGCGGUGAAAUGCGCAGAUAUCAGGAGGAACACCAAUGGCGAAGGCAGAUCUCUGGGCCGUAACUGACGCUGAGGAGCGAAAGCAUGGGGAGCGAACAGG
RNAcentral lists this ribosomal RNA (253 nucleotides) under uncultured bacterium. Its description in RNAcentral is "partial 16S ribosomal RNA". It matches the Rfam family "Bacterial small subunit ribosomal RNA", at positions 524 to 776 of the family's 1533-position model. The record is from RNAcentral.